CUCUUGUCAAGCCACGAUUAGUCUCCCAUAGCCUGAAGCUCUCCUCAUCCAAAUGCUUCUUGUCUAUACCAACUGAUUAGCUGUCUACUAAGCUCUGCAACAUGUAGGUGACACAAGUAGCUCAGAUAGGGCUGUACCAUUCACAAUGUAGUGCCAGUACACAUGUAGUUCUUCAAGUCAGCAUUUCCAGUAAAGAAAACAGAUAACAAAACGGGACAGUUGUGGUUUCAUUAUUUCUGCUGCAAGCAGCGACACAAGGUUCCGCACCAUUUUGAAAGUUAACUGCACUCCCAGAACUGACAAUAACACAGGAAAGAGGAGAUAAUAUAACACUUGAAGCAUCUUGAAAAGAUCUAACUGAUCACCUCUCAAGCAAGAAACAGGGGCAACAAAGUCACUCUUCAAGGAUUGCACGACCCAGGUUAGUGGCAAGUGCGAGUCUGACAGAGCUCAAGGAAUCAGAUGGCAAGUCAGCUUCAACAAAGUCUGGCCUCAAUCUUGCCAUGGACAACUCUUGCAGUUUAUUCAAGAGAAGCUGAGUUUGAGAGACAUUAAGUAAAGGUCGCUCCUGCCAGUUUAACAAUUUCAACUGCACAGGAAGAAAAGGAGGUAAAGUAAUGAUGUCAAAAAUGAAACAUGCACCAGCUAUUAAUAACACAAAGGUCGUUCCUGCCAUUUUAACAAUUUCAACUGCACAGGAAGAAAAGGAGGUAAAUUAAUGAUGUCAAAAAUGAAACAUGCACCAGCUAUUAAUAACAUAUACAUCUGAAAGCAUGUUUAACUUUUGGCCUUGACUUAAUUUAACAGAUUGCCAACCCCUCCCUCACCACCACAUGUACCCAUUUCCAACAACUGGUAUACUGUUGACUGAAAGACUUUAGCAGAAGUGCCUGCACUUAGCUUUUCUAGUUUGAUAUGAACGAAGAUUCAUAUGACAUUAGGAAAAGGAGCAUUUUUUUAACACAUACCCCCAGACCAGCCUUUCUUUUCUUUUUCUUUUGCUUUUUU
RNAcentral lists this long non-coding RNA (1008 nucleotides) under Nicotiana benthamiana. RNAcentral describes it as "long non-coding RNA (NBEN_LNC035003)". The record is from RNAcentral. Lineage: Eukaryota; Viridiplantae; Streptophyta; Magnoliopsida; Solanales; Solanaceae.